UACGAAGGGGGCUAGCGUUGUUCGGAAUCACUGGGCGUAAAGCGCACGCAGGCGGAUCGAUAAGUCGGGGGUGAAAGCCCGGGGCUCAACCUCGGAAUUGCCUUCGAUACUGUCGGUCUCGAGUCCGGGAGAGGUGAGUGGAAUUCCUAGUGUAGAGGUGAAAUUCGUAGAUAUUAGGAAGAACACCAGUGGCGAAGGCGGCUCACGGGCCCGGUACUGACUUUCAGGUGCGAGAGUGUGGGGAGCAAACAGG
Molecule: ribosomal RNA, 253 nt
Filed under: uncultured bacterium
Lineage: Bacteria
Description: partial 16S ribosomal RNA
Rfam family: Bacterial small subunit ribosomal RNA
Source: RNAcentral